GUGGAUUCAUGACCGUAUCAGACAAGGCCUCUGAGCUAGUGAUAGGUGGAUUCAUGACCAUAUGAGACAAGGCCUCUGAGCUAGUGAUAGGUGGAUUCAUGACCAUAUGAGACAAGGCCUCUGAGCUAGUGAUAGGUGGAUUCAUGACCGUAUCAGACAAGGCCUCUGAGCUAGACAGCGCUGUGUGAGAAGUUCUGAGAACCAUGUGAAGUUGGAAUAUACUGUUUGGCACUAAGCCUGGCCAACACUCUUCUGUCCCAGCCUGACCUUUAACCUCUAGAUCAGGGGUAGUCAACUCUGACCCGACGAGAGCCUGCUGUUUUUCUGUUCUACCUGAUAACUAGUCAGUCAGCCAGCCAGUCAGCCAGCCAGUCAGUCACCAGAACCAGCGAGUCAGUCACCAGAACCAGCCAGCCAAUCAGCCAGCCGGCCAGCCAGUCAGUUACCAGAACCAGCCAGUCAGUCACCAGAACCAGCCAGCCAAUCAGCCAGCCGGCCAGCCAGUCAGUCACCAGAACCAGCCAGUCAGUCACCAGAACCAGCCAGCCAAUCAGCCAGCCGGCCAGCCAGUCAGUUACCAGAACCUGCCAGCCAGUCAGUCACCAGAACCAGCCAGC
Long non-coding RNA from Oncorhynchus tshawytscha (Chinook salmon), 617 nucleotides. The record is from Ensembl. NCBI's taxonomy places the organism in Eukaryota, Metazoa, Chordata, Actinopteri, Salmoniformes, Salmonidae.